AUGUCGAACAAGCUUCUGUUCCUUCCCAGGAUACAGCACUCAGUGCACCUGUGGCCUGCCGCUGACACCAGGAGGGAGAAGCGCUGCGCGUUUUGGUGCCCACACCUUCCUGGGAAGCAUCUUCACCAUCGUCCUGGGAUCAUCUCCGUGCGGAUAGCUCUCCCCUUUGCACGUCACCAGUUCUAUUUCUGUAGUGGGUUUUAUUACUGUGUCUGCUUGUGUGCUGGAGCCGUGGGAAGUGGCCCUCCAAGCCGAGCUGUCAUCAUUCAGGGGUGCAAACGCUGUCAAAAGCAAGUCUUCCUGGCCAGCUGGCGAGGCUCGGUGGUUGAGCGCCAGCUUCCCACGUAGGAGGUCCCGGGUUCAAUCCCCUGGUACUGCAAGGAAAAAAGAUGGUGCUCCCCACAGGUUAAACCAAAGAGAAGCUGGAGGACAUGAGAUCCCAGACCAGGCAGCCCGUCCAGGUCAGUGUCACAAGGGUAUGAACAGGUAGCACAAGAUCCCGAGAAGCUCCGAGAGCGGAGCUUGGGGGCAAACACGAAAUUACAAUUGCACAGACAAGGUGUGGGGUUGUUGGGUUUUUUUUUGUUUUGUUUUGUUUUAAUUUGUUUAAUUCUACUUUGUGAGAAAGUUUGUCAGAGCAAACGCAAUAAUUUUUUUUUUCUCAUUAACACACACUAUGUUUUUUUUCUGUACCCAUCUACAACUUUCCUCACUGAAAGUAGCUUCAACAUGUUUUCAAGGCAGAAGAUAGGGAUCGUCCUGAGGAGGCUGAGACACCGAGCUCUUAGCUUUUUUUAAUCCUCUGUAGAGGAGGGAGGCAAAGAAGGAGGUGGUGGGCUGGCCACUGGCUCGGCGCCCACGUGCCUGCCGCCCGGGUGUCCUGGCUCUCCGUGGCCUCUCCUCCAUCUUCUUUUAAUUACUUUUACUUCUUCGUUUUAGCCCUCUAAAGUAUAUGUGAUUUUUUUAAAGCUUGCUGUCCAUAUCACAAAUUAGCUUGGCCGCUGUGUAAAUUAUGCUCUCUUUGCUAUUUCUUUUAUUUGUAUUACUUCUAAAAUGAUAUUUUGCCCUGGCUGUCUUUUCCUAGCUCUUCCAGCUCUCUUGUUUUAUCUCAUUCAGCUGAUUUACUCCUACAUCUGUUACAUGCUGUGGAGUUUGACUUUAUGCCACGAGCACUGGAGAAUGGUGGCAGAGCUUUAAGUAGGCAAUUGGUAAGAAGGGUAUUAGGUUGGCAGGAUACAAGAUUAAUAACCAAAAAUCAGUAGCAUUUCUAUAUACUACUAGUGAGAAAUCAUGGGGAAAAUCCCAUUAACAAGAGAGACUAAAAGAAACAAAUAUUUAGGAAUAAUUUUCCUAGGAAUAAUUAAUCAAGGACAUAAAAGAAUUUUAUUUGAAAACUGCAAAACACUGCUAAAAGAAACCGAAGAAGGCACCUAAAAAAAUGGCAGGGCAUUCCAUGUUCAUGGAUUGGAAAAGACUAUAUAUUGUUAGGAUGUCAGUUCUACCCAAAUUUAUCUACAGAAUCAAUGCAAUACCAAUAAAUCUUCCAACAGCCUUUUUUCACAGAAUUGGAAAGGCCAAAUAUCAAAAAUUUUUGGAAGGGUAAUAGGUCCUGCAUAGCCAAAAAUAUCUUUAAAAAGAAGAAUGAAGUUGGAGGACUCUCUUUUCCUAACUUUAAAGCAUAUUACUUAACUACAGUGGUAAAAACAGCAUGGCACUGGCAUAAAGAUAGAUAUGUUGACCAACGGAAUAGAAUUGACUGUUCAGAAAUAAAUCCUCAAAUUUAUGACAAAGUGAUUUUGACAAGGCUGUCAAGCUCCCCCAGCUGGGCCAGAACAGUCUAUUCAACAAAUGGUGUUGGGAGAACUGGAUAUCUAUAUCCAAAAGAAGGAGGACCCCUAUCUCACACCUUAUACAAAAAUUAACUCAAAAUGGAUCAAGGACCUAAAUAUAAAAACAAAAAUGUAAGACUACUAGAAGAAAAUGUAGGGAAACAGCUUCAAGAUCUUGUGGUAGGCAGUAGUUUCUUAAGCCUUACACCCAAAGCAUGAGCAAUGAAAGAAAAAAAAUAGAUAAGUGGGACUUCCUCAAACUUAAACACUUCUGUGCUUCAAAGGACUUUGUCAAGAAAGUGAAAAAGCAGCCUACUCAAUGGGAGAAAAUAUUUGUGUAGCAGUUUGAUAUGAUUGAUGAAUUCCAAAAAGAAAUAUUGGAUUAUGUUUGUAAUCUGAUCUGUACCUGGGCAUGAUUGAGUUAUGAUUAGGACGUGGAAUCCCCACCCAGUCCCCACCCCGUGGUGGGUGGGGACUCACAGAUAAAAGGCAUGGCAAAGGACAGAGUUGGAGUUUUGAUGUGAGGGUUUCUGAUGUUGGAAUUUUGAUGUUGGAGGUUGAUGCUGAAGCCUUAAACUAGAACCCCAGGAAGUAAGCCCACAGAGGAAAGAGAAGCUAGGCCCAGGCAGAAAGGAACACUGAGCCCAGCAAGAAGCAAGCCUUGGGAAGAAAGGAACCUUGAAGCCAGAGUAAAGCAAAGCCCAGUAACAUAGGAACCCAGGAAGCCUGAACCCUCGCAGACGUCGGCAGCCAUCUUGCUCCAAAUAGACUUUGUUGAGGGAAGUAACUUAUGCUUUAUAGCCUGAUCUCUCCUGCCCCAAAUAAAUACCCUUUAUAAAAACCAACCUGUUUCUGGUAUUUUGCACCAGCACCCCUUUGGCUAACUAAGACAAUUUGGAAAUCCCACCUAUCCAAUAAGGGUUUGAUACCCAUGUUAUAGAAAGAGAUCAUAUCACCCAAUGAUAAAAAGAAAAGAAACCCAAUUAAUAAAGGGGCCAAAGACUUGAAUAGAUGCUUCUCCAAAGAGG
Molecule: long non-coding RNA, 2857 nt
Organism: Dasypus novemcinctus (nine-banded armadillo)
Lineage: Eukaryota; Metazoa; Chordata; Mammalia; Cingulata; Dasypodidae
Source: Ensembl